GACUGCCUUGGGUGGUCCAAGGGUACGGUAAAGCAUUCAGUAUACGAACCAGCUAGGGUAAAGUCUGUUCGUUUUGGUUCAUAUACGAUUUAGACGAAUGGAAAUUCAAACAAGGUUCAGAAUUGCAAUAACACAUAACUCCAAAGGAAUAGGGCAUCUGUUACAAAGGUUUUUGACACUGUUUCACAUAGAAGGCGUAUCAAUAAA
This is a non-coding RNA of Pelobates cultripes (western spadefoot toad), 207 nucleotides long. The record is from the annotation of a GenBank genome assembly. NCBI's taxonomy places the organism in Eukaryota, Metazoa, Chordata, Amphibia, Anura, Pelobatidae.